This 79-nucleotide transfer RNA is filed under the name Cronobacter phage vB_CsaM_GAP32. It matches the Rfam family "tRNA". From Rfam's summary of the family: Transfer RNA (tRNA) molecules are approximately 80 nucleotides in length. Their secondary structure includes four short double-helical elements and three loops (D, anti-codon, and T loops). Further hydrogen bonds mediate the characteristic L-shaped molecular structure. tRNAs have two regions of fundamental functional importance: the anti-codon, which is responsible for specific mRNA codon recognition, and the 3' end, to which the tRNAs corresponding amino acid is attached (by aminoacyl-tRNA synthetases). tRNAs cope with the degeneracy of the genetic code in two manners: having more than one tRNA (with a specific anti-codon) for a particular amino acid; and 'wobble' base-pairing, i.e. permitting non-standard base-pairing at the 3rd anti-codon position. Lineage: Duplodnaviria; Heunggongvirae; Uroviricota; Caudoviricetes. The record is from Rfam by way of RNAcentral.
GGGGAGUUGGCAGAGCGGUCGAAUGCACCUGACUGUAAAUCAGGCACACCACACCCUGGUUCGAAUCCAGGACGCCCCA